GCGUGCUUACACAUGCAAGUCGAACGAACCUUCGGGUUAGUGGCGGACGGGUGAGUAACGCGUGAGAAUCUGCCCUCAGGAGGGGGAUAACGGUUGGAAACGACCGCUAAUACCCCAUAUGCCGAGAGGUGAAACGAAAUUCGCCUGAGGAUGAGCUCGCGUCUGAUUAGCUAGUUGGUGUGGUAAUGGCGCACCAAGGCUUCGAUCAGUAGCUGGUCUGAGAGGAUGAUCAGCCACACUGGGACUGAGACACGGCCCAGACUCCUACGGGAGGCAGCAGUGGGGAAUUUUCCGCAAUGGGCGAAAGCCUGACGGAGCAACGCCGCGUGAGGGAUGAAGGCCUCUGGGCUGUAAACCUCUUUUCUCAAGGAAGAAGAUCUGACGGUACUUGAGGAAUAAGCCACGGCUAAUUCCGUGCCAGCAGCCGCGGUAAUACGGGAGUGGCAAGCGUUAUCCGGAAUUAUUGGGCGUAAAGCGUCCGCAGGCGGCCUCGAAAGUCUGUCGUUAAAGCGUGGAGCUUAACUCCAUUUAAGCGGUGGAAACUACGAGGCUAGAGUGUGGUAGGGGCAGAGGGAAUUCCCGGUGUAGCGGUGAAAUGCCGUAGAUAUCGGGAAGAACACCAGUGGCGAAGGCGCUCUGCUGGGCCAUAACUGACGCUCAUGGACGAAAGCCAGGGGAGCGGAAGGGGAUUAGAUACCCCUGUAGUCCUGGCCGUAAACGAUGAACACUAGGUGUCGGGGGAAUCGACCCCCUCGGUGUCGUAGCUAACGCGUUAAGUGUUCCGCCCUGGG
RNAcentral lists this ribosomal RNA (791 nucleotides) under uncultured cyanobacterium. RNAcentral describes it as "bacterial SSU rRNA". It matches the Rfam family "Bacterial small subunit ribosomal RNA", at positions 42 to 878 of the family's 1533-position model. Lineage: Bacteria; Bacillati; Cyanobacteriota. The record is from RNAcentral.